GACGAACGCUGGCGGCGUGCUUAACACAUGCAAGUCGAGCGGUAAGGCCCUUUCGGGGGUACACGAGCGGCGAACGGGUGAGUAACACGUGGGUGACCUGCCCUCAGCUCUGGGAUAAGCCUGGGAAACCGGGUCUAAUACUGGAUAUGACUCCAUGACGCAUGUUGUGGGGUGGAAAGCCUUGUGCGGCUGAGGAUGGGCCCGCGGCCUAUCAGCUUGUUGGUGGGGUGANGGCCUACCAAGGCGACGACGGGUAGCCGGCCUGAGAGGGCGACCGGUCACACUGGGACUGAGACACGGCCCAGACUCCUACGGGAGGCAGCAGUGGGGAAUCUUGCGCAAUGGGCGAAAGCCUGACGCAGCGACGCCGCGUGAGGGAUGACGGCCUGGUU
RNAcentral lists this ribosomal RNA (392 nucleotides) under uncultured bacterium. RNAcentral's name for it is "bacterial SSU rRNA". It matches the Rfam family "Bacterial small subunit ribosomal RNA", at positions 28 to 424 of the family's 1533-position model. The record is from RNAcentral.